UGCCUAAUACAUGCAAGUCGAACGGGGAAAGCUUUCGGGUGAGUACUAGUGGCGCACGGGUGAGUAACGCGUGGAUAAUCUGCCUUAGAGUGGGGGAUAACUAGUCGAAAGAUUAGCUAAUACCGCAUAAGACCACAAGAACUGCGGUUCAAGGGGUCAAAGGUUUUUCGCUCUAAGAUGAGUCCGCGUAAGAUUAGCUAGUUGGUGAGGUAAUGGCUCACCAAGGCGACGAUCUUUAACUGGUCUGAGAGGAUGAUCAGUCACACUGGAACUGAGACACGGUCCAGACUCCUACGGGAGGCAGCAGUAGGGAAUAUUGCACCCUUGAGGAAACUCUGAUGCAGCGACGCCGCGUGAGUGAUGGAUCCUUCGGGUCGUAAAGCUC
This 385-nucleotide ribosomal RNA is filed under the name uncultured organism. RNAcentral describes it as "bacterial SSU rRNA". It matches the Rfam family "Bacterial small subunit ribosomal RNA", at positions 45 to 433 of the family's 1533-position model. The record is from RNAcentral.